GACGAACGCUGGCGGCGUGCUUAACACAUGCAAGUCGAACGGUGACCCAGGGCUUGCCCUGGUGAUCAGUGGCGAACGGUGAGUAACACGUGGGCAACCUGCCCCUGACUUCGGGAUAACUCCUCGAAAGAGGAGCUAAUACCGGAUACGACCACUUCGGACAUCCGAUGGUGGUGGAAAGUUUUUCGGUCAGGGAUGGGCCCGCGGCCUAUCAGCUAGUUGGUGGGGUAAUGGCCUACCAAGGCGACGACGGGUAGCCGGCCUGAGAGGGCGACCGGCCACACUGGGACUGAGACACGGCCCAGACUCCUACGGGAGGCAGCAGUGGGGAAUAUUGCGCAAUGGGCGAAAGCCUGACGCAGCGACGCCGCGUGAGGGAUGAAGGCCUCGGUGUAACUCUUCUAGCAGGACGAAG
Molecule: ribosomal RNA, 415 nt
Filed under: uncultured bacterium
Lineage: Bacteria
Description: bacterial SSU rRNA
Rfam family: Bacterial small subunit ribosomal RNA
Source: RNAcentral